Molecule: ribosomal RNA, 650 nt
Filed under: uncultured bacterium
Lineage: Bacteria
Description: bacterial SSU rRNA
Rfam family: Bacterial small subunit ribosomal RNA
Source: RNAcentral
AGAGUUUGAUCCUGGCUCAGAUUGAACGCUGGCGGCAGGCCUAACACAUGCAAGUCGAGCGGCAGCGGGAAAGUAGCUUGCUACUUUUGCCGGCGAGCGGCGGACGGGUGAGUAAUGCCUGGGAAAUUGCCCAGUCGAGGGGGAUAACAGUUGGAAACGACUGCUAAUACCGCAUACGCCCUACGGGGGAAAGCAGGGGACCUUCGGGCCUUGCGCGAUUGGAUAUGCCCAGGUGGGAUUAGCUUGUUGGUGAGGUAAUGGCUCACCAAGGCGACGAUCCCUAGCUGGUCUGAGAGGAUGUUCAGCCACACUGGAACUGAGACACGGUCCAGGCUCCUACGGGAGGCAGCAGUGGGGAAUAUUGCACAAUGGGGGAAACCCUGAUGCAGCCAUGCCGCGUGUGUGAAGAAGGCCUUCGGGUUGUAAAGCACUUUCAGCGAGGAGGAAAGGUCAGUAGCUAAUACCUGCUGACUGUGACGUUACUCGCAGAAGAAGCACCGGCUAACUCCGUGCCAGCAGCCGCGGUAAUACGGAGGGUGCAAGCGUUAAUCGGAAUUACUGGGCGUAAAGCGUGCGCAGGCGGUUCGGAAAGAAAGAUGUGAAAUCCCAGAGCUUAACUUUGGAACUGCAUUUUUAACUACCGGGCUAGA